GACGAACGCUGGCGGCGUGCCUAAUACAUGCAAGUUGAGCGCUGAAGGUUGGUACUUGUACCAACUGGAUGAGCAGCGAACGGGUGAGUAACGCGUGGGGAAUCUGCCUUUGAGCGGGGGACAACAUUUGGAAACGAAUGCUAAUACCGCAUAAAAACUUUAAACACAAGUUUUAAGUUUGAAAGAUGCAAUUGCAUCACUCAAAGAUGAUCCCGCGUUGUAUUAGCUAGUUGGUGAGGUAAAGGCUCACCAAGGCGAUGAUACAUAGCCGACCUGAGAGGGUGAUCGGCCACAUUGGGACUGAGACACGGCCCAAACUCCUACGGGAGGCAGCAGUAGGGAAUCUUCGGCAAUGGACGAAAGUCUGAACGAGCAACGCCGCGUGAGUGAAGAAGGGUUUCGGAUCGUAAAAAUCUGUUGGUAGAGAAGAACGUUGGUGAGAGUGGAAAGCUCAUCAAGUGACGGUAACUACCCAGAAAGGGACGGCUAACUACGUG
This 497-nucleotide ribosomal RNA is filed under the name uncultured bacterium. RNAcentral describes it as "partial 16S ribosomal RNA". It matches the Rfam family "Bacterial small subunit ribosomal RNA", at positions 28 to 507 of the family's 1533-position model. The record is from RNAcentral.